AUACGUAGGGGGCGAGCGUUGUCCGGAAUGAUUGGGCGUAAAGGGCGCGUAGGCGGCCUGUUAAGUCUGGAGUGAAAGUCCUGUUUUCAAGAUGGGAAUUGCUUUGGAUACUGAUGGGCUUGAGUGCAGGAGAGGUUAUCGGAAUUCCCGGUGUAGCGGUGAAAUGCGUAGAGAUCCGGAGGAACACCAGUGGCGAAGGCGGGUAACUGGACUGCAACUGACGCUGAGGCGCGAAAGUGUGGGGAGCAAACAGGAUUAGAUACCCUGGUAGUCCACACUGUAAACGAUGAAUGCUAGGUGUAGGGGGUAUCGACCCCUUCUGUGCCGCAGUCAACACAAUAAGCAUUCCGCCUGGGGAGUACGGCCGCAAGGUUGAAACUCAAAUGAAUUGACGGGG
RNAcentral lists this ribosomal RNA (397 nucleotides) under uncultured bacterium. RNAcentral describes it as "partial 16S ribosomal RNA". It matches the Rfam family "Bacterial small subunit ribosomal RNA", at positions 523 to 918 of the family's 1533-position model. The record is from RNAcentral.